This 250-nucleotide ribosomal RNA is filed under the name uncultured bacterium. RNAcentral describes it as "partial 16S ribosomal RNA". It matches the Rfam family "Bacterial small subunit ribosomal RNA", at positions 88 to 339 of the family's 1533-position model. The record is from RNAcentral.
CCGGCGAGUGGCGCACGGGUGAGUAACGCGUGGGGAUCUGCCUCGAAGUGGGGAAUAACCGCUGGAAACGGCGGCUAAUACCGCAUAAUGUCUUCGGACCAAAGGUGGCCUCUAUUUAUAAGCUAUCGCGUAAGGAUGAGCCCAAGUGGGAUUAGCUAGUUGGUAAGGUAAUGGCUUACCAAGGCGACGAUCCCUAGCUGGUCUUAGAGGAUGACCAGCCACACUGGAACUGAGACACGGUCCAGACUCC